RNAcentral lists this ribosomal RNA (1345 nucleotides) under uncultured bacterium. RNAcentral describes it as "bacterial SSU rRNA". It matches the Rfam family "Bacterial small subunit ribosomal RNA", at positions 28 to 1379 of the family's 1533-position model. The record is from RNAcentral.
GACGAACGCUGGCGGCGUGCUUAACACAUGCAAGUCGAACGAUGAAGCCUAGCUUGCUAGGUGGAUUAGUGGCGAACGGGUGAGUAAUACGUGAGUAACCUACCUUUAACUCUGGGAUAAGCCUGGGAAACUGGGUCUAAUACCGGAUACGACCAAUCUCCGCAUGGGGUGUUGGUGGAAAGCGUUAUGUAGUGGUUAUAGAUGGGCUCACGGCCUAUCAGCUUGUUGGUGAGGUAACGGCUCACCAAGGCGACGACGGGUAGCCGGCCUGAGAGGGUGACCGGCCACACUGGGACUGAGACACGGCCCAGACUCCUACGGGAGGCAGCAGUGGGGAAUAUUGCACAAUGGGCGCAAGCCUGAUGCAUCGACGCCGCGUGAGGGAUGACGGCCUUCGGGUUGUAAACCUCUGUUAGCAGGGAAGAAGAGGAAUUGACGGUACCUGCAGAGAAAGCGCCGGCUAACUACGUGCCAGCAGCCGCGGUAAUACGUACGGCGCGAGCGUUGUCCGGAAUUAUUGGGCGUAAAAGAGCUUGUAAGCGGUUUGUCGCGUCUGCUGUGAAAGGCCGGGGCUUAACCCCGUGUAUUGCAGUGGGUACGGGCAGACUAGAGUGCAGUAGGGGAGACUGGAAUUCCUGGUGUAGCGGUGGAAUGCGCAGAUAUCAGGAGGAACACCGAUGGCGAAGGCAGGUCUCUGGGCUGUAACUGACGCUGAGAAGCGAAAGCAUGGGGAGCGAACAGGAUUAGAUACCCUGGUAGUCCAUGCCGUAAACGUUGGGCACUAGGUGUGGGGAACAUUCCACGUUUUCCGCGCCGUAGCUAACGCAUUAAGUGCCCCGCCUGGGGAGUACGGCCGCAAGGCUAAAACUCAAAGAAAUUGACGGGGGCCCGCACAAGCGGCGGGGCAUGCGGAUUAAUUCGAUGCAACGCGAAGAACCUUACCAAGGCUUGACAUAUACUGGACCGCAUCAGAGAUGGUGUUUCCCUUCGGGGCUGGUGUACAGGUGGUGCAUGGUUGUCGUCAGCUCGUGUCGUGAGAUGUUGGGUUAAAUCCCGCAACGAGCGCAACCCUCGUUCUAUGUUGCCAGCACGUAAUGGUGGGGACUCCUAAGAGACUGCCGGGGUCCACUCCGAAGAAAGGGGGGAUGACGUCAAAUCCUCCUGCCCCUUAUGUCUUGGGCUUCCCGCAUGGUACAAUGGCCGGGACAGAAGGUUGCGAUACUGUGGAGGGGAGCUAAUCCCCUAAAACCCGUCUCAAUUCUGAUUGGGGUCUGCAACUCCACCCCCUGAAGCCGGAAUCGCUAGUAAUCCCAAACAACCACCCUGGGGGGAUAAGUUUCCGGGC